This 253-nucleotide ribosomal RNA is filed under the name uncultured bacterium. RNAcentral's name for it is "partial 16S ribosomal RNA". It matches the Rfam family "Bacterial small subunit ribosomal RNA", at positions 524 to 776 of the family's 1533-position model. The record is from RNAcentral.
UACGUAGGGUGCGAGCGUUGUCCGGAAUUAUUGGGCGUAAAGGGCUCGUAGGCGGUCUGUCGCGUCGGGAGUGAAAACUCAGGGCUUAACCCUGAGCCUGCUUCCGAUACGGGCAGACUAGAGGUAUGCAGGGGAGAACGGAAUUCCUGGUGUAGCGGUGAAAUGCGCAGAUAUCAGGAGGAACACCGGCGGCGAAGGCGGCCCUCUGGAUCGUUGCUGACGCUGAGACGCGAAAGCGUGGGGAGCAAACAGG